GAAGGGAGCUUGCUCCCGGAUGUUAGCGGCGGACGGGUGAGUAACACGUGGGUAACCUGCCUGUAAGACUGGGAUAACUCCGGGAAACCGGAGCUAAUACCGGAUAGUUCCUUGAACCGCAUGGUUCAAGGAUGAAAGACGGUUUCGGCUGUCACUUACAGAUGGACCCGCGGCGCAUUAGCUAGUUGGUGAGGUAACGGCUCACCAAGGCGACGAUGCGUAGCCGACCUGAGAGGGUGAUCGGCCACACUGGGACUGAGACACGGCCCAGACUCCUACGGGAGGCAGCAGUAGGGAAUCUUCCGCAAUGGACGAAAGUCUGACGGAGCAACGCCGCGUGAGUGAUGAAGGUUUUCGGAUCGUAAAGCUCUGUUGUUAGGGAAGAACAAGUGCAAGAGUAACUGCUUGCACCAUGACGGUACCUAACCAGAAAGCCACGGCUAACUACGUGCCAGCAGCCGCGGUAAUACGUAGGUGGCAAGCGUUGUCCGGAAUUAUUGGGCGUAAAGGGCUCGCAGGCGGUUUCUUAAGUCUGAUGUGAAAGCCCCCGGCUCAACCGGGGAGGGUCAUUGGAAACUGGGAAACUUGAGUGCAGAAGAGGAGAGUGGAAUUCCACGUGUAGCGGUGAAAUGCGUAGAGAUGUGGAGGAACACCAGUGGCGAAGGCGACUCUCUGGUCUGUAACUGACGCUGAGGAGCGAAAGCGUGGGGAGCGAACAGGAUUAGAUACCCUGGUAGUCCACGCCGU
Molecule: ribosomal RNA, 747 nt
Filed under: Bacillus xiamenensis
Lineage: Bacteria; Bacillati; Bacillota; Bacilli; Caryophanales; Bacillaceae
Description: bacterial SSU rRNA
Rfam family: Bacterial small subunit ribosomal RNA
Source: RNAcentral